UACGUAGGGUGCGAGCGUUAAUCGGAAUUACUGGGCGGAAAGCGUGCGCAGGCGGUUCGUUGUGUCGGCGGUGAAAGCCCCGGGCUUAACCUGGGAAUGGCCGUUGAAACUGGCGAACUGGAGUGUGGCAGAGGGGGGUGGAAUUCCGCGUGUAGCAGUGAAAUGCGUAGAGAUGCGGAGGAACACCGAUGGCGAAGGCAGCCCCCUGGGCUAACACUGACGCUCAGGCACGAAAGCGUGGGGAGCAAACAGG
Molecule: ribosomal RNA, 253 nt
Filed under: uncultured bacterium
Lineage: Bacteria
Description: partial 16S ribosomal RNA
Rfam family: Bacterial small subunit ribosomal RNA
Source: RNAcentral